RNAcentral lists this long non-coding RNA (332 nucleotides) under Pongo abelii (Sumatran orangutan). RNAcentral describes it as "lincRNA". Lineage: Eukaryota; Metazoa; Chordata; Mammalia; Primates; Hominidae. The record is from RNAcentral.
AGGAGCUGCUCCCUGGAUGGGGAGAUGGGAGCUAGCAGCUCACAAUGGGGUCACAAGAUGCAUGGUGAAUAUUUGAUGUUUUAGAACAAAAAGGUAUUUACAAAUCUAAUUUGAUGCAAACAUCUGGAAAUACUCAGAAGUUACAAGAAUUCAUAAAAUACCCACCAAAGCUAAUAGAAAACAUGGGACCUUCCAGGACGAGAAGUAAACUGAAAGAACCCAGAGGAGAAAUCAAAGUGAGAAACCAGUGCCCCCUUCAGGUACUGGAUGAUCACAGGGACCUCAAGACUGGGGAUUAUUCAACUACCUUCUUGGAAUAAACAAAGAAAGUU